RNAcentral lists this ribosomal RNA (117 nucleotides) under Theropithecus gelada (gelada). The record is from RNAcentral. Lineage: Eukaryota; Metazoa; Chordata; Mammalia; Primates; Cercopithecidae.
AUCUAUGGCCAUACCACCCUGAACCCAACCAAUCUUGUCUGAUCUUGGAAACUAAGCAGGGUCAGGCCUGGUUGGUACUUGGAUGGGAGAAAUGUCAAUCAAAACCACUAUGAGAUA